Long non-coding RNA from Helianthus annuus (common sunflower), 675 nucleotides. RefSeq lists it as uncharacterized. The record is from RefSeq and is a predicted model, not a curated record. The transcript is spliced from 3 exons. NCBI's taxonomy places the organism in Eukaryota, Viridiplantae, Streptophyta, Magnoliopsida, Asterales, Asteraceae.
AACACACAAGAGUGUGUGUAUCGCCUAGAGCAAAGAAGAAAAAGGGAAAAACCCUUUCUUCCACCAAUUCAAGAAAUUGGAAUGGAAGUUAUGGCCAAAUUCGAUGCAUGAACACUUAAAACCAAUCAUCUAAGCUAAUUUAGCAAGAGGCGUAAAAGAAGAAGGCCCAAACGUCAAGAAAAUGGAACGCUCGUAAAAUCGAGGUCAUGUGAAUGGAAUUUAUCAUGUAAAAGAAUGAAUCCGGACCGACCCGUUGUGAAUGAGUCGAAUGGAUGAAAGGUUAUGCGAAAAAGAUGUGUAUGUAUUAACUCGGCAUGAACGGGUCAAAUCGGAUGUAUACGUUAAAAGAAGAGAUGGAUGUUUGAUCCGCUAUAAACGGAUCAAACGAAUGUAUGUGAUAUUUAAUAUUUUGAAGAAGUAUGUAUUGACCCGUUUUGAACGGGUCAAGUAAAUGAGAAUGUUAUACAAAAGUAUGGAAUGGUAAAGUAUGGACAUGCUAGAAAAGAGUCAACUGAAUAGAUGGUUUAUGAAUUGAUUUCGGUUAGGUACUUGUCUAAUCAUAAUGUAUCUAUCGAAGUUAAACUACAAAUGUGUAAGUAGAAGUAUGAAGUAAGACUGUAUGAUUGAUGAAAGAUAGUAUUGUAUUUAAAGAAAUUGAUAAAGGAGUUUGUUAUG